This is a ribosomal RNA of Lepisosteus oculatus (spotted gar), 119 nucleotides long. The record is from Rfam. NCBI's taxonomy places the organism in Eukaryota, Metazoa, Chordata, Actinopteri, Semionotiformes, Lepisosteidae.
GCCAGCAGUCAUAUCACACUACAAAUCACAACUGACAACUCACUGACACUCAGCAGGUGUGAGCCUGGUCAGUACCUGGAUGGGAGACCUUCUUGGAAAAACUAAGGUUGCUGCUGGAA